Molecule: ribosomal RNA, 458 nt
Filed under: Enterococcus faecium
Lineage: Bacteria; Bacillati; Bacillota; Bacilli; Lactobacillales; Enterococcaceae
Description: bacterial SSU rRNA
Rfam family: Bacterial small subunit ribosomal RNA
Source: RNAcentral
CCUACGGGAGGCAGCAGUAGGGAAUCUUCCGCAAUGGACGCAAGUCUGACCGAGCACGCCGCGUGAGUGAAGAAGGUUUUCGGAUCGUAAAACUCUGUUGUUGGAGAAGAAGGAUGAUGAAGUAACUGUUCAUCCCUUGACGGUAUAACCAGAAAGCCACGGCUAACUACGUGCCAGCAGCCGCGGUAAUACGUAGGUGGCAAGCGUUGUCCGGAUUUAUUGGGCGUAAAGCGAGCGCAGGCGGUUUUAAGUCUGAUGUGAAAGCCCCCGGCUCAACCGGGGAGGGCAUUGGAAACUGGUAUACUUGAGUGCAGAAGAGGAGAGUGGAAUUCCAUGUGUAGCGGUGAAAUGCGUAGAUAUAUGGAAGAACACCAGUGGCGAAGGCGACUCUCUGGUCUGUAACUGACGCUGAGGCUCGAAAGCGUGGGGAGCAAACAGGAUUAGAUACCCUGGUAGUC